AGUGAGGUAGAAUAAAAAGUUCGCUCCAUUUACACUGGAGAAGUCAAAAAGUUAACUUUGUCUUGUUA
This 68-nucleotide transfer RNA is filed under the name Modiolus nipponicus. RNAcentral describes it as "tRNA-Val". The record is from RNAcentral. Lineage: Eukaryota; Metazoa; Mollusca; Bivalvia; Mytilida; Modiolidae.